ACACGUAAGGGGCAAGCGUUGUUCGGAAUUAUUGGGCGUAAAGGGCGUGUAGGCGGUUCUGCAAGCCUGGUGUUAAAUACCACAGCUUAACUGUGGGAAAGCGCUGGGAACUGCGGGACUAGAGUUUAGGAGGGGAAGCUAGAAUUCCAGGUGUAGGGGUGAAAUCUGUAGGUAUCUGGAAGAAUACCAGUGGCGAAGGCGAGCUUCUGGCCAUAGACUGACGCUGAUGCGCGAAAGCGUGGGGAGCGAACAGGAUUAGAUACCCUGGUAGUCCACGCUGUAAACGAUGUGCACUAGGUGUUGGGCAGGAUUGUUCAGUGCCGUAGCAAACGCGUUAAGUGCACCGCCUGGGGAGUAUGCUCGCAAGGGUGAA
This 373-nucleotide ribosomal RNA is filed under the name uncultured bacterium. Its description in RNAcentral is "bacterial SSU rRNA". It matches the Rfam family "Bacterial small subunit ribosomal RNA", at positions 523 to 898 of the family's 1533-position model. The record is from RNAcentral.